Molecule: long non-coding RNA, 497 nt
Organism: Carcharodon carcharias (great white shark)
Lineage: Eukaryota; Metazoa; Chordata; Chondrichthyes; Lamniformes; Lamnidae
Exons: 3
Source: RefSeq, a predicted model, not a curated record
UAUGGCAUCGAGCCACAUAAGGAAAUAUUAGGUCAGAAAACCAAAAGCUUGGUCAAAAAGGUACUGGCUCAAUAGCCUACUGAAGAUUGUGGUCAUCGAGUAUUUUGCCUGAGACAUGCAAGAAUUCAGACAGCAAGUGUCUGGGAUGGGCAAUAAAAACAUUAGCCUAGCCAGCAACAUCCAUGUCCUGUGAAAGAAUUUUAAAAAUCAGUGGGCAACUUCACUACAAGGAACAUCAUGAUCAAGCAUAAUCCAUGCUGACAUCAUCAUCUAUACUUUCCAAUGGAAGUUUCUGGAUAAGGAUCAGAAGUAUGAAUCCUGGCUGAUGUUUCUCCUUUACAGAAUGCUAAUCGCAUUAUCCAGGAUGCACAGCUUUAAAUAGUGUUCUGGCAAGGACUCGUGGAUUUGCAAAGUACUGAAGGAGUGAAUUAGGUUCUUUGGGCCAAUCUCCGCAAAAAAUAAAUCGUCUUGUAUUUGAUUAGCCAAGUUGCAUGAGA